This 2230-nucleotide long non-coding RNA is filed under the name Podarcis lilfordi (Lilford's wall lizard). Lineage: Eukaryota; Metazoa; Chordata; Lepidosauria; Squamata; Lacertidae. The record is from RNAcentral.
GGGAGGGCCAGGGCAGGAGGAGAGGCGGUGAUUAUGUACCUGGGCACAGAAGGUGGCAGAAGGGCACCGGGAGGCGAGAGCCACAUCCAGGAAAGAUCUGGGGCAGCCAAAACCCCCCCUGAAAAAAGAGGACGGGGACCCCCCUGACUGCACUAAAUUGAGUGUGCAAGGAAUUGCCAGACCCACCACAAAAGGAGAAGCAGGAAGAGGACUUACUUGUGAGUUUGGAGGGGUUUUUAAGCAGCUAAAGUUUGCCAGUGGGGAUUUGGGGAGAUUUUCAAGUGCAAGGCUGCAAUUGUUGCAGAGGGUGUCCAUCUGUGUGUGGAAGGGUUGCGGUGUUUGGCCACUGGUGCGUCUCUUCCGAGGGAUCCUGCCACAGACUGCAUCCCUUGUGUCUGUGAAGGAUCCUGCAGUUGGGUCCUAAUGGGUUAAGCCUCUGGGAACGUUGCCCUGGUUGCCCAAGUGAAUUUGAAGAUUCUGCCAGUUAAUGUGUUUGCAUUGUUCUUGUUGUUAAGCUUAUAUGACACUUUAUUUAUUCAAUGUGUAUAUAUCCCACCUUUUCCCUCCAUGGAGCGCAAGGUGACUUACAUGAUUGGUCCCCUCCUCAUUUAAUCCACACAACAUCCCUGUGAGGUAGGUUAGGCUGAGAGGCAGCGACUGGCCCCAAAUCACCCAGCGAGCUUCAUGGCCCAGCGGGAAUUUGAACCCUGGUUUCCUGGGUCCUAGUCUUUCAUUCUAGUCACUACACCACACUGGCUCUCAUUACAAUGUGGGGAAACAAGACAGGUCCCUGCCCCAAAGAGCUUGCAGUUUCAUUUAUUAUAUAGAGGGUGUCUGUCUAGCUGAUCAGUAUGCUGAUGACACCCAACUCUAUCUGUUGAUGGAUGGCCAUCCUGACUCGGCCCCAGACACACUGAUCAGAUGUUUGGAAGCUGUGGCUGGAUGGUUACGUGGGAGCCUGUUGAAGUUAAAUCCUUUGAAGACAGAGGUCCUUCGGCUGGGAUGGGACGAUAUGGGAUUGGGGGGGCAACUCCCAUCUCUUGCGGGGGCGCAGUUAGUGCCAGCACCGUCCGUUAAGAGUUUGGGUGUAAUCUUCGACACCUCCCUUUCCAUGGAGGCGCAGAUUGCAGCUAUAACAAAGGCGGCAUUUUUUCAUCUCCGCCAAGCUAAGCAGUUGGCUCCUUAUCUCUCUCGCCCUGACCUAGCCACUGUGAUCCACGCGACGGUCACCUCCAGACUGGAUUAUUGUAACUCGCUCUACGUGGGGCUGCCCUUGAGACUGAUCCAGAAACUCCAGCGGGUGCAGAAUGCUGCAGCGAGACUCCUUACGGGGUCCUCGCUGCGAGAUCACAUUCACCCGGUGCUAUACCAGCUGCACUGGCUCCCGGUGACGUACAGGAUCAGGUUUAAGGUGCUGGUUUUAACCUUUAAAGCCCUAUAUGGCCUAGGACCCUCGUACCUACGGGACCGCCUCUCCUGGUAUGUCCCACAGAGGAACUUACGGUCUUCAAAUAAAAACAUCUUGAAGGUCCCAGGCCACAGAGAAGUUAGGCUGGCCUCAACUAGAGCCAGGGCUUUUUCGGCUGUGGCCCUGAUCUGGUGGAACGCUCUGUCACAAGAGACUAGGGCCCUGCGGGACUUGACAUCUUUCCACAGGGCCUGCAAGACAGAGCUGUUCCACCAGGCCUUUGGUCAGGGUGCAGCCUGACUCCCUCCUUUGGCAAUCUUUACAGAACUUUAGUUUAUGGUUGCCAUCAAUUUUGAUUUUAAUUAAUUUUAUAAUGAAAUGAUUUUAGAAUGCUGUACUAUUUUAUUGUUGUUAGCUGCCCUGAGCCCGGCUUCGGCUGGGGAGGGCGGGAUAUAAAUAAAAUUUAUUAUUAUUAUUAUUAUUAUUUAUUAUUAUUAUUAUUAUUAUUAGCUUGGAGACUGAAGGGAUUGACUGAGGCUCUUCUUGUGGGUGUCUCACACAGCUUUUAGUGUGGUGGCACCCAUACUUCAGAACGAGAUCCUCUUCAAAAUGAGAGACUGGAUUACUGCAAUUCAUUCUGCGUGGGGCUUCCCUCCUGCUUGGGCUGAAGGCUGCGGCUGGUGCAGAAUGCUGCAGCAGAAUUGCUGACAAGAGCCAGCCCUGUGUCUGCUGCUGAGCCCGUACCAUUCCCUGCCUGAACAAAUUUCUCUGUCUUCCUUCCAAGUAGCAGCCCCUGCCUGUGUGCAUUGAAUAGUAGAUGGG